CCUACGGGUGGCAGCAGUGGGGGAUAUUGCACAAUGGCGGGAACCCUGAUGUAGCGACGCCGCGUGGGUGAAGGAGUGCUUCGGCAUGUAAAGCCCUAUUGGCAGGGAAGAAUCAAGACGGUAUCUGACCAAGAAACCCCGCCUAACGACGUGCCAGCAGCCGCGGUAAUGCGUAGGGGGCGAGCUUUACCCGGAUUCACUGGGUGUACAGGGAGCGUAGACGGCCAUGCAAGCCAGGGGUGAAAGCCCGGGGCCCAAGCCCGGGACUGCGCUUGGAACUGCAUGGCUGGAGUGCGGCUGGGGAAGGCGGAAUUCCUGGUGUAGCGGUGAAAUGCGUAGAUAUCAGGAGGAACACCGGCGGCGAAGGCGGCCUGCUGGACUGCGACUGACGUUGAGGCUCGAAAGCGUGGGGAGCGAACAGGAUUAGAUACCCGAGUAGUC
Molecule: ribosomal RNA, 441 nt
Filed under: uncultured bacterium
Lineage: Bacteria
Description: partial 16S ribosomal RNA
Rfam family: Bacterial small subunit ribosomal RNA
Source: RNAcentral